RNAcentral lists this long non-coding RNA (1016 nucleotides) under Homo sapiens (human). RNAcentral's name for it is "HSALNT0127268". The record is from RNAcentral. Lineage: Eukaryota; Metazoa; Chordata; Mammalia; Primates; Hominidae.
CAACCUUUAUCUUAAAGAGAGUUAUAUAAGAAGAAAAGAAAGUUACGGAAACUUUACCAAUGUAUUAAAAAGUAGUGGCUUAAAGAUGUCUGUCAGACUAUUCUAUUCGCUUCAAACGUCAGAUUGGCAGGUAAUCAGCCCCAAAGCCUCACUUCAUUGACUAUUUUUUGGGGGAAAGUACCUGAUAAUUUUGUUCGGUAGGGUUAAUCCUCCGUGUGAGUACCACCUGCCUCCCAGCAGCCCCAGCCCAGAUUAGGCAAAGUUGUAAUGAAUGUUCUUUCUUCUGUGAAAUAUGAUAUACAAAAUGGCAUCUCUGGUUCAGAGGCCUAAAAUAAAUUUGAGAAGCCAUUCUAAGGACUAUCUGCAUGACCUGCAACCUUGUCAAAAAACAAACAAACAAACAAAAACAAAAAUAAAAAUCCUGGAAUUUUGCCUUGCACCUUUGAACUGGCCCAAACCUCAACAACCACAACAUUCUGCAAAACAGCUAAAUUUCACCAGCACUGUGACUCUUGAACAGCAACAACCAAUUAACUAUAGAAUAAUGUACUAAGCCAGGCUCCUUCAACGUUAAUUACUUGAAAACAACUUGUGUAAUCACCCUUAGCUUUCUUUUACAUUACUACUCCCCUCUCUGUCUUCAGAACACAAUUUGGCUUCUAGCAGGAUCUAUUCCUCAAGCUGCAAUGCCUAGGACCCCAGUAAAUGACUUGUCUUACUACUUUGCAGUCUGGUCUUACACUUUUUCUUGGUGGACACUUCAUCACCAGCAAGCGAGUGGUGGAUGAUUGUCAGUUUUGAUCUACUGGACAUUUUGAUUGUCUUCCUUCAGCAACAUCAGUUGUCUGGCUGAGGUUGUGCAGCCAUUCUUAGCACUCUGAGGUGACUUCUUUUGAUAGAUGGACAGUCAGAGGCUGAAGUAACUUGACAGCACCUGUGAUUCUAUUGCAUGUCAGAAUCAACCUACAGAUUCGCACUAGAUGAAGACGCACACGUGGAAGACAUUACUCAUUAGA